Long non-coding RNA from Sapajus apella (tufted capuchin), 233 nucleotides. RefSeq lists it as uncharacterized. The record is from RefSeq and is a predicted model, not a curated record. The transcript is spliced from 2 exons. NCBI's taxonomy places the organism in Eukaryota, Metazoa, Chordata, Mammalia, Primates, Cebidae.
UAAUCCUAUUGCAUCAAUGUGAAAUUUCCUGAUGUUGACCACUGUACUGUGGUUAUAUUAGAAAAUGUGCUUAUUCUUAGGAAGUACACACUUCAGUGAAUGGUUCAGAAAACAAAAGUGUAUGUGUGAUGAAUGUGCAUGGAGAAAGAGACAGAGAGAGAGAGAGAGAGAGAGAGAUUGAUGGAUGGAAUAAUAAAGCAAGUGAGAUAACAGAAACAAUUGAUGAAGCUUGG